Lutra lutra (Eurasian river otter) is the source of this 3311-nucleotide long non-coding RNA. RefSeq lists it as uncharacterized. The record is from RefSeq and is a predicted model, not a curated record. NCBI's taxonomy places the organism in Eukaryota, Metazoa, Chordata, Mammalia, Carnivora, Mustelidae. The transcript is spliced from 2 exons.
AACUGGGGGUGACCAUGUAGCUCACUCAUAUUAUUCACUCCUUCAAUGAUAGGGUGCCUGAGCUAGAUGAUGAUGGUUUGACAGGUGAACAAGAUAGCUCUGUUUGCUUCCCUGAUGGAGAUGAUGCUCUCAUAGAUUUUUUUAGUGAAUCAAGAAUCUGGCAUCCAUAAAGGAAAUCAGCAGAUUUUGACAAUGAGACCCAUUAUUGACAGAUACUGUGACUGAUUUCCAACGUGUGUUGAUGAUGUCAUUAGUUACAGAAACAUUCUUGCUUUGAUGUUCACUUUAGUUUAUGAUGACCUUCAGAUCUUUUUGUUUUCAACCUUGAGAAGAAAAAGUUUCUUUAAAAAGGAAAUUGAGUCAGCUCAACCGCAAGAAGGUUGUAGGGACUGAAAAGAACCACCCAUUAAUCCUAUUGCUCUAAAAUAAUUGGCUUUCUUUGCUAAGAUUGUUGUAGAUUUAGGGCCCCUUUACUCCAGGGAGCUGUAAACAGUUCAUGAGGUUGAAUGUGUCUUAUUUUCCCCAGUCUCUGCCGAUUGUAUCAGACGCCAGAGUUAUAGUCCCCAAUUUGCAGAGGAAAAAAAAACAAUGCAGAGAAGGCUAGGGGACAAGUCCAAGUUGUCAUAGUUAGAGGCAAGACAGAUACUGAUCCAUUCUUAUCCUUGUGAGAAGCUGUCAUCCCCCUGAGCUCCCAGCCCACACAGAGUUGACGUCUUCUCAUUCAGUCCCUCCCUUCUAUCCCCACUGCCGCAGCCCUGGCUGAGACCUUAGUCAGUAUAACUUGAGGAUUGUGUAAUUUCCUCCUUGUUUUCCUCACUGCCACUUCUACUAAUCUCUUCUACUGCCCAUUCUUUCCAGAGGAAUCUAUCUCGUGCACAGCAACAAGCAUGCCACUCCUCUGACCAGAAACCUUCAUUGGUUCUCUUUUGCCUGCAAAGCAAAGUCCAGAUUUCUUAACCAGUGUGUAAACUCAUCAAGACAAGGAACUAUGCCUGUCUCUUCUUUGCAACCCCGUUGUGUCUGGUGCUUUGGGAGAGAACUACAGAAGCAUUUGCUGAACAGACAAUGAGUGGGUUCUCUCCCAGCUUAAUCAGUCAGUUGCCCUCUAAUGCUUCAUACUUAGUUCUUAAGAGCAGUCUAUUUCUCCUGUCUACAGAAGCCUCCUGAGACGACAUGCCCCACCGGGAGAAGAGAGGUAGGCUCCAGCUGAAAUCCAAGGGGAGAUACAGCCACAGCAGUGACCUCCCAGCACCCAGCACCAGCUCUGUGCCAAGUAUAUUUUGGGGCUUUAGCUUUGGAGCCCAAGGCUGUGUCUAUACAGUGUAACUGAGACCUGCCUCUGUACUAGAUUUGGUAUUUGCGCUUGUCAUGAGGGCACAGUGCCCAGCAGUGGUUCAGACUAUGUGCGAUGGUUCUAAUUUGGUUGUUAAAGCUGCCAAAAGAAUGACUAACGCAACUGACAAAAAAUAUUUUUGGUGAACAAAUGACAUCAACCACUUGACCACUGGUCUCUAUUUGAGUUGGAAAAUCCAAAUGAAGCAAAAUAAACAGUCCAUAGGAUGAGGACAUAUUUGUCAGGGGGUGUAUCAUGAGGAAUCAUCUCCUUUCCCUGGGGUCAUGAUGUGCAGAGCAGGGACGUUGCCAUAGCCCUGUCAGAGUCCUUUCCCUUCCUGCUCCUUGUGUCCAUCUCCCUGAGAGACACUCUUCUUCCCUUUCAGGCUGAAUAUGCAUCGAACUAUUUCCUCUUAGAUAAAGUCAUUUGCAUUUGCCUCCCAAGAUGACUCUCAUUUCAUUGGGUGCUGUCCAUAUUCCUAGUCUGCUAAGUCCAUUUAUAUUAUCACUUGGCCUUGCCUGACGCUUGGCCUAUUUCUCCUUUCAGUGUUGCCAUGACUUCAGAGUGACUACAGAGCAGGCCAGGAGUACAUGUCCUUCCAUUACGGGAAGAAGGUGGGGAGAAGAGGUAGAAAAAGCCAACAAGAAGAAAAACAACCAUAUUGUACUUCCUGAGCGGGAACAGGCUGUGGUUUUGUACAAAAUUUGCAGUGAAGAACAAGUCAUACAGAUAAUAAUAAAUAGCAAACAACAGGAUGUGUGUGUUAAUUCACACUAACUUUUUCAGCCCUCACCCCCCACUCUCUGAAGCAGAACCUGAUUAUCUCCCCUUUAACUGAGGAAGCUGAGGCACAGAGAAGAGAAGUAAUAUGCCCAAAACAACACAGCUAGAAAGUGGCAGGGACUGGAUCCUGUGGAACAUGCAUGUCAUUAUACAGAUCUUAUGUUUCAGUAGUUUCAAAAUGUCCUGUCCUUAAGCUCAGGUGACAGACAUGUUGCUGAUUUCAGUAUCUGAUUGGGAAAUCCAAGCAAUAUCAUUUUUUUCCAUAGCUCCAAUGACCCACCCACUCCUGGGGCAUUUUUGCACACUUCUGCCAUGAUCUCACUUCUGCUGAGGUGAUCAGGUACAGUGUGUGUGUGUGUGUGUGUGUGUACACAAAUAUAUGCAUAGGAAACAGGUUUUGGGUCAUUACUUAUUUUACAAAAAUGUGAUCCCAUUAUAGACACAGUUAUUCCAUUUGUCUUGUUCGCUCAUAAAAACUAAUGGAAAUCCUUUCAAGGCCAUUGUUAGGGAAUGAAUUCAUGCUUUGUAAUGGCUGCACCAUAUUUCAUGGCAUGAGUGUAUUAUACUAAUGCACACAACCCCCUAUAGAUGAACAGUCACUUUGUUUUCAUGACUUUAAUUGUAAUUAUAAUUGUAAUUGAUACAGUGUUGGUGGGAACAAUGUUGCAAAAAGAAUCCCUGGGUGUGUAUUCUUAUGUCCUGGGAAUUGUAUUUCUGAGGAAACCAAUUCAAUGGUUGUUAGAAUAUUUACAGAGUUGUGCAGUCAUCACAACCCAUAUCAGAACAUUUUUAUCUCCUUGCAAAAAAAGCCCAUACCCAAUAGUGGUCACUUUUCACUUCUCACCAAUCUUCCAUCUUUAGGCAACCACUAAUCUAUUUUCUGUCACUAUAGAUUUCCCAAUCCUGAGCAUUUUAGAGAAAUGGAAUUCUGCAGUAUGUAGUCUGUUAUGAUUUGCUUCUUUUGCUCAGCAUAACGUUUUCAAGGCUCUGCCAUGGCAUAGGAAGUAUCUAAACCAACCUGAGAAUAAUUAGGUUGAGCAUUGUUCCACACACAAUAUUCAAAGGACCCAAAUUUGUAGCAAAUUCCAUGGCAGUUGUAAUGUUGAGCUGCUAUAGCAAAAAAAACCUGGGCAUUCUUGAUACUUGAAUAUGGAAUAUGUGCACAGGGAAAGGAAAUAAACAUUGCACUUUAUAA